AUUGAACGCUGGCGGCAUGCCUUACACAUGCAAGUCGAACGGUAACAGGGAGCUUGCUCCGCUGACGAGUGGCGAACGGGUGAGUAAUAUAUCGGAACGUACCAUUGAGUGGGGGAUAACGUAGCGAAAGUUGCGCUAAUACCGCAUAUUCUCUCCGGAGGAAAGCAGGGGACCGCAAGGCCUUGCGCUCAUUGAGCGGCCGAUAUCAGAUUAGCUAGUUGGUGGGGUAAAAGCUCACCAAGGCGACGAUCUGUAGCGGGUCUGAGAGGAUGAUCCGCCACACUGGAACUGAGACACGGUCCAGACUCCUACGGGAGGCAGCAGUGAGGAAUCUUGCGCAAAUGGGGGAAACCCUGACGCAGCAACGCCGCGUGAGUGAGGAAGGCCUUCGGGUCGUAAAGGCUACUGUCAGAUGGGAAGAAAAUGGAAUGGGGGCGUAAGUAUACGCCCAAUCCUUCGACGGUACCAUCAGAGGAAGCACCGGCAACUCCG
This 492-nucleotide ribosomal RNA is filed under the name uncultured bacterium. RNAcentral describes it as "bacterial SSU rRNA". It matches the Rfam family "Bacterial small subunit ribosomal RNA", at positions 30 to 505 of the family's 1533-position model. The record is from RNAcentral.